GAUGAACGCUGGCGGCGUGCCUAAUACAUGCAAGUCGAGCGAACAGACGGGGAGCUUGCUCCUCUGACGUUAGCGGCGGACGGGUGAGUAACACGUGGAUAACCUACCUAUAAGACUGGGAUAACUUCGGGAAACCGGAGCUAAUACCGGAUAAUAUAUUGAACCGCAUGGUUCAAUAGUGAAAGACGGUUUUGCUGUCACUUAUAGAUGGAUCCGCGCCGCAUUAGCUAGUUGGUAAGGUAACGGCUUACCAAGGCAACGAUGCGUAGCCGACCUGAGAGGGUGAUCGGCCACACUGGAACUGAGACACGGUCCAGACUCCUACGGGAGGCAGCAGUAGGGAAUCCUCCGCAAUGGGCGAAAGCCUGACGGAGCAACGCCGCGUGAGUGAUGAAGGUCUUCGGAUCGUAAAACUCUGUUAUUAGGGAAGAACAAAUGUGUAAGUAACUAUGCACGUCUUGACGGUACCUAAUCAGAAAGCCACGGCUAACUACGUG
This 497-nucleotide ribosomal RNA is filed under the name uncultured bacterium. RNAcentral describes it as "partial 16S ribosomal RNA". It matches the Rfam family "Bacterial small subunit ribosomal RNA", at positions 28 to 507 of the family's 1533-position model. The record is from RNAcentral.